GAUGAAGAACGUAGCGAAAUGCGAUACUUGGUGUGAAUUGCAGAAUCCCGUGAACCAUCGAGUCUUUGAACGCAAGUUGCGCCCGAAGCCAUCAGGUUGAGGGCACGUCUGCCUGGGCGUCACAUAUCGUUGCCCAAUGCCUAUUGCAGUGCAAUAGGAAUUUCUAGGGCGAAUGAUGGCUUCCCGUGAGCGUUGUUGCCUCGCGGUUGGUUGAAAAUCGAGUCCUUGAUAGGGUGUGCCAUGGUAGAUGGUGGUCGAGUUAGAACGAUACCGAUCAUGUGCAUGCUCCCCAAAAUAUGGCCUCUAUGACCCACACGCGUCUUUUGACGCUCAUGACGAGACCUCAGGUCAGGCGGGGCUACCCGCUGAAUUUAAGCAUAUCAAUAAGCGGAGA
Molecule: unclassified non-coding RNA, 394 nt
Filed under: soil metagenome
Description: partial contains 5.8S ribosomal RNA, internal transcribed spacer 2, and large subunit ribosomal RNA
Rfam family: 5.8S ribosomal RNA (bases 1-122)
Source: RNAcentral